GAGAGCGGCGUACGGGUGCGGAACACGUGUGCAACCUGCCUUUAUCAGGGGGAUAGCCUUUCGAAAGGAAGAUUAAUACCCCAUAACAUAUUGAAUGGCAUCAUUUAAUAUUGAAAACUCCGGUGGAUAGAGAUGGGCACGCGCAAGAUUAGAUAGUUGGUAGGGUAACGGCCUACCAAGUCAGUGAUCUUUAGGGGGCCUGAGAGGGUGAUCCCCCACACUGGUACUGAGACACGGACCAGACUCCUACGGGAGGCAGCAGUGAGGAAUAUUGGACAAUGGGUGAGAGCCUGAUCCAGCCAUCCCGCGUGAAGGACGACGGCCCUAUGGGUUGUAAACUUCUUUUG
RNAcentral lists this ribosomal RNA (347 nucleotides) under Chryseobacterium sp. RZ4MS2. RNAcentral's name for it is "bacterial SSU rRNA". It matches the Rfam family "Bacterial small subunit ribosomal RNA", at positions 91 to 438 of the family's 1533-position model. Lineage: Bacteria; Pseudomonadati; Bacteroidota; Flavobacteriia; Flavobacteriales; Weeksellaceae. The record is from RNAcentral.